Long non-coding RNA from Syngnathus typhle (broad-nosed pipefish), 200 nucleotides. RefSeq lists it as uncharacterized. The transcript is spliced from 2 exons. The record is from RefSeq and is a predicted model, not a curated record. Lineage: Eukaryota; Metazoa; Chordata; Actinopteri; Syngnathiformes; Syngnathidae.
GGCUACGCUGUGUCUGGGCCAACACUUCGGCACAGACGAGAUGACCAUCGUGCAGCCGAGUGCGUAAAAGUGCGUCCGUGGGUUCGGGGUUGGAUACUGAAGGUGGCGCUUGGACACUGUUGCAGAGCCUUGGAUGCGCUGAAUGCGUAAUGCCCGUCUACGCGCCUGGCUAGUUCGGAAAAAAUAAAAAUAAAUCGGAA